This 440-nucleotide ribosomal RNA is filed under the name uncultured bacterium. RNAcentral's name for it is "partial 16S ribosomal RNA". It matches the Rfam family "Bacterial small subunit ribosomal RNA", at positions 338 to 795 of the family's 1533-position model. The record is from RNAcentral.
CCUACGGGAGGCAGCAGUGGGGAAUAUUGCACAAUGGGGGAAACCCUGAUGCAGCGACGCCGCGUGAGUGAAGAAGUAAUUCGUUAUGUAAAGCUCUAUCAGCAGGGAAGAAAAUGACGGUACCUGAGUAAGAAGCCCCGGCUAACUACGUGCCAGCAGCCGCGGGAAUACGUAGGGGGCAAGCGUUAUCCGGAUUUACUGGGGGUUAAGGGGGCGUAGACGGCAGUGCAAGUCUGGAGUGAAAGGCGGGGGCUCAACCCCCGGACUGCUCUGGAAACUGUACGGCUGGAGUGCACGAGAGGUAAGUGGAAUUCCUAGUGUAGCGGUGAAAUGCGUAGAUAUUAGGAAGAACACCAGUGGCGAAGGCGGCUUACUGGAGUGUAACUGACGUUGAGGCUCGAAAGCGUGGGGAGCAAACAGGAUUAGAUACCCGAGUAGUC